Molecule: ribosomal RNA, 746 nt
Filed under: Micropsalliota subarginea
Lineage: Eukaryota; Fungi; Basidiomycota; Agaricomycetes; Agaricales; Agaricaceae
Description: eukaryotic LSU rRNA
Rfam family: Eukaryotic large subunit ribosomal RNA
Source: RNAcentral
GGACCGUAUACAAGUCUCCUGGGAUGGAGCAUCAUAGAGGGUGAGAAUCCCGUCUUUGAUACGGACUACCAGUGCAUUGUGGUAUGCUCUCAACGAGUCGAGUUGUUUGGGAAUGCAGCUCAAAAUGGGUGGUAAAUUCCAUCUAAAGCUAAAUAUUGGCGAGAGACCGAUAGCGAACAAGUACCGUGAGGGAAAGAUGAAAAGAACUUUGGAAAGAGAGUUAAACAGUACGUGAAAUUGCUGAAAGGGAAACGCUUGAAGUCAGUCACGUCUGCUGGGAAUCAGCCUCGCUCCUGCGUGGUGUACUUUCUGGUAUGACGGGUCAGCAUCAGUUUUGACCACUGGAAAAAGGUGUGGGGAAUGUGACAGCUCCGGCUGUGUUAUAGCCUCAUAUUGUAUACAGUGGUUGGGACUGAGGAACGCAGCACGCCGAAAGGCCGGGUCUUUGACCACGUUCGUGCUUAGGAUGCUGGCAUAAUGGCUUUAAGCGACCCGUCUUGAAACACGGACCAAGGAGUCUAACAUGCCUGCGAGUGUUUGGGUGGAAAACUCGAGCGCGCAAUGAAAGUGAAAGUUGAGAUCCCUGUCGUGGGGAGCAUCGACGCCCGGACCAGAACUUUUGGGACGGAUCCGCGGUAGAGCAUGUAUGUUGGGACCCGAAAGAUGGUGAACUAUGCCUGAAUAGGGUGAAGCCAGAGGAAACUCUGGUGGAGGCUCGUAGCGGUUCUGACGUGCAAAUCGAUCGU